This 252-nucleotide ribosomal RNA is filed under the name uncultured Bacteroidales bacterium. RNAcentral describes it as "partial 16S ribosomal RNA". It matches the Rfam family "Bacterial small subunit ribosomal RNA", at positions 524 to 776 of the family's 1533-position model. The record is from RNAcentral. Lineage: Bacteria; Pseudomonadati; Bacteroidota; Bacteroidia; Bacteroidales.
UACGGAGGAUGCGAGCGUUAUCCGGAUUUAUUGGGUUUAAAGGGUGCGUAGGCGGUCCGUUAAGUCAGCGGUAAAAUUGCGGGGCUCAACCCCGUCGUGCCGUUGAAACUGAUGUUCUUGAGUGGGCGAGAAGUAUGCGGAAUGCGUGGUGUAGCGGUGAAAUGCAUAGAUAUCACGCAGAACUCCGAUUGCGAAGGCAGCCUGCUGGACUGUAACUGACGCUGAUGCUCGAAAGUGUGGGUAUCAAACAGG